Taeniopygia guttata (zebra finch) is the source of this 2130-nucleotide long non-coding RNA. The record is from Ensembl. NCBI's taxonomy places the organism in Eukaryota, Metazoa, Chordata, Aves, Passeriformes, Estrildidae.
AUGGAAUUCCCAAUAAAUCCCACAAGGACCGAUGGAAAUCCCAAUAAAUCCCACAAGGACCCGCGGUGUCCGAGGGGUCACUCUGGGGGGUAUCCCGGGAAUGGGGCAGGGAGGGUGACCAGUCCCGUCCCAGUGUCCCCAGUCCUGUCCCAGUGUCCCCAGUCCCGUCCCAGUGUCCCCAGUCCUGUCCCAGUGUCCCCAUCCCUAUCCCGAUGUCCCCAAUCCCAAUGUCCCCAUUCCCACUGUCCCCAUUCCCUUCCCAGUAUCCCAGUUCCCAGUGUCCCCAUCCUAAUGUCCCCAAUCCCAAUCCCAGUGUCCCCAUUCCAUCCCACUGUCCCCAUUCCCGUCCCAGUGUCCCUAUUCCCAAUGUCUCCAAUCCCAGUGUCUCCUUUCCCAUUCCCAAUGUCCCCAGUCCCAUUCCCAGUGUCCCCAAUCCCAGUGUCCCCAAUCCCAGUGUCCCCAUUCCAAUCCCAAUAUUUCCAUUCCUGGUGCCUCCAUUUCCGAUGUCCCCAUUUCUGUCCCUGUGUCCCCAUUCCCAAUGUCCCCAAUCCUAAUGUCCCCAUUCCCAUCCCAGUGUCCCCAUUCCCAAUGUCCCUAUUUCCCAAUGUCCCCAUUCCCAAUGUCCCCAUUCCCAGUGUUCCCAUCCUAAUGUCCCCAUUCCCAAUGUCCCAAAUCCUGUCCCAGUGUCCCCAAUCCCAGUGUCCCUAUUCCCAUUCCCACUGUCCCCAGUCCCAUCUCAAUGUCCCCAAUCCCAGUGUCCCCAAUCCCAAUAUCCCCAAUCCAAUCCCAAUGUCCCCAGUCCCAUCUCACUGUCCCCAAUCCCAAUGUCCCCAAUCCCAUCCCAACGUCCCCAAUCCCAUCCCAAUGUCCCCAUUCCCGUCCCCGUGUCCCUAUUCCCAAUGUCCCCAAUCCCAGUGUCUCCUUUCCCAUUCCCAAUGUCCCCAGUCCCAUUCCCAGUGUCCCCAAUCCCAUCCCAAUGUCCCUAUCCCAUUCCCAGUGUCCCCAAUCCCAGUGUCCCCAAUCCCAGUGUCCCCAAUCCCAGUGUCCCCAUCCCAAUCCCUAUAUUUCCAUUCUCAGUGCCUCCAUUUCCGAUGUCCCCAUUCCUGUCCCUGUGUCCCCAUUCCCAGUGUCCCCAAUCCCAUCCCAAUGUCACCAAUCCCUAAAUUCCCAGUGUCCCCAUUCCCAGUGUCCCCAAUCCUAAUGUCCCCAUUCCCAUCCCAGUGUCCUCAUUCCCAAUGUCCUCAUUCCUGUCCCAGUGUCCUCAUUCCCAAUGUCCCCAUUCCCACUGUCCCCAUUCCCAGUGUUCCCAUCCUAAUGUCCCCAUUCCCAAUGUCCCAAAUCCUGUCCCAGUGUCCCCAGUCCCAGUGUCCCUAUUCCCAUUCCCAAUGUCCCCAUUCCCAAUGUCCCCAAUCCCAGUGUCCCCAGUCCCACUGUCAGCAGUCCCAUCCUGAUGUCCCCAUUCCCAACGUCCCCAAUCCCAUUCCCACUGUCCCCAAUCCCAAUCCCAGUGUCCCCAAUCCCAAUGUCCCAAAUCCUGUCCCAGUGUCCCCAAUCCCAGUGUCCCUAUUCCCAUUCCCAAUGUCCCCAAUCCAAUCCCAAUGUCCCCAAUCCCAUCUCAAUGUCCCCAUUCCCAACGUCCCCAAUCCCAGUGUCCCCAAUCCCAGUGUCCCUAUUCCCAUUCCCACUAUCCCCAGUCCCAUCUCAAUGUCCCCAAUCCCAUCUCAGUGUCUCCAUUCCCAACGUCCCCAAUCCCAUUCCCAACAUCCCCAUUCCCAUCUCACUGUCCCCAAUCCCAAUGUCCCCAAUCCCAUCCCAAUGUCCCCAUUCCCAACGUCCCCAAUCCCAUUCCCAACAUCCCCAUUCCCAUCUCACUGUCCCCAAUCCCAAUGUCCCCAAUCCCAUCCCAAUGUCCCCAUUCCCGACCCCAUUCCCAGCCCAAAAAUUCCCAAAUCCCAACUUCCGCUCUCUCCGGCUUUAUUAAAGGCGGGAAAGCAGAAAAAUUCCCUAAAAAAAAAAAUUAUGGGAUUUCCCUCCCCAAAUUCCCGGAGCUGUUUCCUUCCCCAAUUUGGGGACGUUCCCAAAAAUCCCCGAGGAUUUGUAGGAUCACGAGGAUUUUCUGGAGCAUUUUGA